RNAcentral lists this long non-coding RNA (2930 nucleotides) under Ornithorhynchus anatinus (platypus). RNAcentral's name for it is "lncRNA (ENSOANG00000044529.1)". Lineage: Eukaryota; Metazoa; Chordata; Mammalia; Monotremata; Ornithorhynchidae. The record is from RNAcentral.
UUACAUUAAUGCCUGUUUUUUGGUUUAGAUAUGCGUAUGUAAUUUGAUUUCGUUCAUUCAUUCAUUCAAUAGUAUUUAUGGAGCCCUUACUGUGUGCAGAGCACUGUACUAAGCGCUUGGGACGAACAAGUCGGCAACAGAUAGAGACGGUCCCUGCCGUCUGACGGGCUCACGGUCCGAUCGGGGGAGACGGACGGACGAGAACGAUGGCGAUGAAUAGAGUCGAGGGGAAGAACGUCUCGUAAAAACCGAUGGCGACUAAAUAGAAUCGAGGCGAUGUACAUUUCGUUAACAAAAUAAAUGGGGUAAUGAAACUGAUGGGCUGCCUCUUUACUUGUUUUGAUGUCUGUCUCCCCGCUCCUAGACUGUAAACCCGACGUGGCAGGGAUUAUCCCUCUUUAUUGCUGAGUUGUACUAAGUGCUUAGCACCGUGCGCUUACUGCACGCAGUAAGCGCUCAAUAAAUACGACCGAAUGAACGAAUGAAUGGCACAUAGUAAGCGCUUAACAAAAACCAACAUUAUUAUUAUUCUAAAUACGACUGUGACUACUCUGGGCAUUACUACUAUUACAAGCCCAAUUAACAAGGCCAAGGGGAACCCAAUUAGCUUUGAUUAAUGGAGGCUCUUCCAGGAAGUACCUACUACAUAACAGACCUCUGCAGGAAGUAAGUCUGGUUUCCCAGUGAAUUAUUGCAAGGCACUCUCUUUAACUACUAGCCCAGACAAAACACUUCCAGACAUCCUCUUUUAUACCCACAGGGAAGGAAGUUCCUUGAGGGCAGAAGCUCCGUCUUCUACUCAGAGUGGGAAUGGAGGGCCGUGGCUCUGCUAGCCCGGGGGCUUCCCCAUCAGGAUUGAGACCAUCAUUCAGUUCCAAGUGCCAAAGAACACGUAAUCGGGGAAACAAGAGGACUGCAGUUUGUCAGAUAAUUCUCCUCCGCUCCCUUUGGCCUCUCGGAAAUCAGGAGCAGAAACCCUCUGCUGUAUUGAACUUCCAUUUUUUAACUUUUUUUUUUUUCCUAGAGUGAAUGCUCUUCCAUUAUAAACUUUUCCUUCAGGCCCAAUUCCUUUCAGUUCGUUCCAGCAAAUGAAAAUCCUCUUGUAAUGAGCGACUGUUAUAAUGAAGAAUCAUUGGCAACACAGCAUAUUUUAAUGGACAAAUUACUCUAAAUUAAGCUCUUGCCAUCUGUUCUAUUCUCAUUUACGAUUGUAAGAAGAACAUAUUUUACAAUUACAACAGUAAAAAAUAAUAUAUAAGCGACUGAAGUACAGAGUAUGGAUUAUGCGUGUGUGUUCAUACAGGGCGAUAUGCAGAUGGCGAUGAUGAUGUCUUCAGCCUCUAGGCACAAAUGGAGGAGAAAAUGGUUAAUUUUGGACACAAUAAAUUUGCAGUUAUUAUGAAGCAUUUGCAUGUCAAAAAGGACUCUGCUACGACGGGAUUUCAUUGGUUAUUAAUCUCCAAAGCGGAGAGCUUCUUCAUAGGAUCCCUAAAUACUGAGCCAACCUCAUUCUCGCUGUGACCCACAGGGAGUUUCAAGAUAGCAGAGACAUAAAAGGCAAGCGACAUUAUUUUAGCGGAUGAGGGAAUUGAAGUUGUACUAUAUCACUUUCCAUAGCUACUAAUGGUUAUGACAACACCCAGAAGCCAUACCGGGAUUUUAGUCAAAGCACCCACUGAUAGCUAUUUAAAAGCAAAGAAGAGUGAGUUUCCUGCAGCUAUACCCAUUGGUGAAAUGCUAUAGUGGCUGAUAACGUUGGGAAGGAAUUAAAAACGCAGUAGCAGCAAAAUGGGAAGCAAUUUGGGAGUGAUCUUACGAACUAGAUGAGGCAAUUCAGCCUAUUCACGCAUUCACUCAAUCGUAUUCACUGAGCGCUAUCUGUGUGCAGAGCACUGUAUUAAGCACUUGGGAGAGCAUAAUUCAGCAAUAAACAAACACAGUCCCUGCUCACAGUGAGCUUACAGUCUAGAGACCGUUGACUUUUCUGUCUUUCCACCCCUUUUCCUACCUUUCAUUCUUUUGAGGAUUUGGAUUUCUGUCCCCCACUGAUUCAUUGCCUAAAGCGGGACGGAGCCCUUCGGUUCGUCCAGUGGAAAUAGCACAGCGCUGGGACCUGGAAGACGUGAAUUCUAGUACCUGCUCUGCAAGCAGGGGACUCGGUCAAUCGUGUGGUCUAGUGGAAAGAGCACGGGCCUGGGAGUCAGAGGAUUGUGCUGUUUGCUGUGUAGCGUUAUUAUGUAAGCCACUUAGCGUCUCAAUCAAUAAGUAGAUCAGUUACCUCAUCUAUAAAAUGAGGAUUAAAUCUCCCUCCCUUCAACUUAGACUGGGAACCCAAUGCUGUGUACAGCACACUAACCUGUACCUACCCCAAGGCUUAGUACAGUGUUUGGCACAUAAUAAGCGCUUUACAUAUACCUUAAAUUUAUUAUUAUUAACAUCAUCAUGAUCAUUAAUGAUAUUUAUUGAGCGCUUACUGUGUGCUCUGCUAUGCUAAGUGUUUGGGAGAGUACAAUUCAAUAGUUAGUAGACAGGUCCCCUGCCCUUGAGGAGAUUCCAUUAUAGAGGGGAAGACAGAUCUUAAAACAAAUUGCCACAAUACAUACCAUAAGUGCUGUGGCACCGAAGGUGAGAUGAAUAUCAAGUGCUUAAAGGGUAUGAAUUCAAGUGCCAGGGAGACAUUGAUAGGGGAAAUGAGAAUUUAUUUGGGGAGGGGCUCUUGGAAGAUGGUGGGUUGGUGAGGAAAGUGGUGGUCUGUUGUACAUCGGCGGGGAGGAGUUUCAAGCCCAAGGGAGGAUGAGGGCAAGGGGUUAAUGGUGAGAUGGAUGUCACUGAGGCAUGGUGAGUAGAAUGGGGUUAGAACAGAGAAAUGUGUGGCCCAGAUUGAGGUAAGAAGUCCCCAAAGUUAAAUAGGAGGGAACAAGGCCCACGAG